Molecule: long non-coding RNA, 662 nt
Filed under: Homo sapiens (human)
Lineage: Eukaryota; Metazoa; Chordata; Mammalia; Primates; Hominidae
Description: non-protein coding LINC01919:10
Source: RNAcentral
UGAGGGCUUCCUUCAAAAACCUUGGCCUGCGAUGGCCUGGAUUGCAGGAGUCCUAUGAUGUUGGCUAGUCGGUGUAAUUGUCGGGCUUUUCCCUUAAUCCAUUUAUGCCUGAGGUUGCAAUUUUUUGAAUUUUUGCAAUUAGACCUUGGCGAUGACCUUGAGCAGUAGGAUAUAAAUAACUCCCUUGUGUUUAGCAUUCCAGUAAUGGAACACUAGCCAUAAUAAACCGUUCCAAAAAUGCGUUCUAAUGGCUCUCAAGCAAGGUCCACUUGCAGUGAAAUAAACCAGAGGUUUGAAUCAUGGCUUGAUACGAAAUUAUUGGAAAGAAUAUGGCGAUGACAUCCACAAUGCCGUUCCUUAUUUCCUUAAUUUAGCAAGUGAUUUCCAAGCUGGUGUAUGGAGAUAAGUAGUAAUAUACAAAAAUGCUAACAUGGGCUAGUGAACCUCUUUCAUUAUUUGAAAAAGCAGAAUAGAAACUGAGCAGUUACCAACAAGAAGCCUCUGUCAGAUAAACUAAAUUUUUUCUGCUCUGGCAUAGAAUUAUAUCAGCUCAAUUGAAUGUGAAACGAUAAUGACAAUAUUAAUAAUUAAUGCUUAUAAUAACUAAUGACAAAGAUGAUGCUGAGUCAUUUAAUAUUUGCAGUGUUGCCAUGAGUCAGGAU